RNAcentral lists this ribosomal RNA (253 nucleotides) under uncultured bacterium. RNAcentral describes it as "partial 16S ribosomal RNA". It matches the Rfam family "Bacterial small subunit ribosomal RNA", at positions 524 to 776 of the family's 1533-position model. The record is from RNAcentral.
UACGUAGGCAGCAAGCGUUGUUCGGAGUUACUGGGCGUAAAGGGUGUGUAGGCGGUUGUUUAAGUUUGGUGUGAAAUCUCCCGGCUCAACUGGGAGGGUGCGCCGAAUACUGAAUGACUCGAGUGCGGGGGAGGAGAGUGGAAUUCCUGGUGUAGCGGUGAAAUGCGUAGAUAUCAGGAGGAACACCGGUGGUGUAGACGGCUCUCUGGACCGUAACUGACGCUGAGACACGAAAGCGUGGGUAGCAAACAGG